GAGCAAAAGAUUUAUUUAUUAGAUAUUGUUACGUUGCUUUCCAUCAGUGGAAGUUCACGCAGAGCAGCACCAAGCAGUUUGAUUUCUAUCAAACUCUUCUGAGCGACAGCUUCAUUUAUUAGAUACAUAAUGUUACGUCAUUCUUUAUCAGU
This is a long non-coding RNA of Temnothorax curvispinosus, 152 nucleotides long. RefSeq lists it as uncharacterized. NCBI's taxonomy places the organism in Eukaryota, Metazoa, Arthropoda, Insecta, Hymenoptera, Formicidae. The record is from RefSeq and is a predicted model, not a curated record. The transcript is spliced from 3 exons.